RNAcentral lists this long non-coding RNA (509 nucleotides) under Sus scrofa (pig). Its description in RNAcentral is "lncRNA (ENSSSCG00030014353.1)". Lineage: Eukaryota; Metazoa; Chordata; Mammalia; Artiodactyla; Suidae. The record is from RNAcentral.
GAUGACUGAAGCUGGCAUAAUCCUCUUUACCUGCUCCUCCCUCAGGCAAUAAGCAGGUUGCUUGGACCCAGAAGAAUAGCUACUUUCUGUGGCCACACUGUGAGGGAGGGCUUCCAGGUGGCUGGGGAAAUUAGUUGCUGUGACAACAAGCUGGCGCGGGUGUAGUUUGCUGCACUUUGCAGCUCUUGUCUUCUGCUCCAGGGCACUCAGCUGCCUGGGGGAACCUGGAAAUCCAGUAAGUUCACACCUCAGGAGCAACAUCGGACAGAUGGUGGUUUGGAGCAGAAAAGGAGCAGGAGCUGAAAAAGCGAGGCCAGUCUUACAACUCACUGGACUUCUGGCAAGAAUCCCUCCCCAGAACCAACCCUAAUUGCUGACCUGAGUUAUACACAUUCAAGAGAGAAGUAGAAGGUUUUCAUUACAAGUCAUCUAACUCUGCAGGAGUUUGGCUUUGAAAACCCCCUGAAAAGGACUCAUGUGAAUAAAGCGGGGCCAUUCUCAUUGAAGCA